This 449-nucleotide ribosomal RNA is filed under the name uncultured cyanobacterium. RNAcentral describes it as "bacterial SSU rRNA". It matches the Rfam family "Bacterial small subunit ribosomal RNA", at positions 28 to 524 of the family's 1533-position model. Lineage: Bacteria; Bacillati; Cyanobacteriota. The record is from RNAcentral.
GAUGAACGCUGGCGGUAUGCUUAACACAUGCAAGUCGAACGGUCACUUCGGUGAUAGUGGCGGACGGGUGAGUAACGCGUGAGAAUCUGUCUUUAGGUCGGGGACAACAGUUAGAAAUGACUGCUAAUACCGGAUGUGCCUAUGGGUGAAAGAUUAAUUGCCUAGAGAUGAGCUCGCGUCAGAUUAGCUAGUAGGUGGUGUAAGAGACUACCUAGGCGACGAUCUGUAGCUGGUCUGAGAGGACGAUCAGCCACACUGGAACUGAGACACGGUCCAGACUCCUACGGGAGGCAGCAGUGGGGAAUUUUCCGCAAUGGGCGAAAGCCUGACGGAGCAAUACCGCGUGAGGGACGAAGGCUUUUGGGUCGUAAACCUCUUUUCUCAAGGAAGAUUAAGACGGUACUUGAGGAAUAAGCAUCGGCUAACUCCGUGCCAGCAGCCGCGGUAAU